GGGAACGUGGCUCAGUGGUAAAGUGCUUGCCUUGCAUGCAUGAGGCCCUGGGUUCGAUUCCUCAGCACCA
Molecule: transfer RNA, 70 nt
Filed under: Dipodomys ordii (Ord's kangaroo rat)
Lineage: Eukaryota; Metazoa; Chordata; Mammalia; Rodentia; Heteromyidae
Rfam family: tRNA
About the family: Transfer RNA (tRNA) molecules are approximately 80 nucleotides in length. Their secondary structure includes four short double-helical elements and three loops (D, anti-codon, and T loops).
Source: Rfam by way of RNAcentral